RNAcentral lists this ribosomal RNA (245 nucleotides) under uncultured bacterium. RNAcentral describes it as "partial 16S ribosomal RNA". It matches the Rfam family "Bacterial small subunit ribosomal RNA", at positions 524 to 768 of the family's 1533-position model. The record is from RNAcentral.
AACGUAGGGCGCCAGCGUUGCGCGGAUUUACUGGGCGUAAAGCGCGUGUAGGCGGCUAUUUAAGUCCAGCGUGAAAUACCCGGGCUCAACUUGGGAAUUGCGCUGGAAACUGGAUGGCUUGAGUUCGGGAGAGGGAGAUAGAAUUCCCGGUGUAGCGGUGAAAUGCGUAGAUAUCGGGAGGAAUACCUGUGGCGAAAGCGGUCUCCUGGUCCGAUCCUGACGCUGAAACGCGAAAGUAUGGGUAG